RNAcentral lists this ribosomal RNA (253 nucleotides) under uncultured bacterium. Its description in RNAcentral is "partial 16S ribosomal RNA". It matches the Rfam family "Bacterial small subunit ribosomal RNA", at positions 524 to 776 of the family's 1533-position model. The record is from RNAcentral.
UACGGAGGGGGCUAGCGUUGUUCGGAAUUACUGGGCGUAAAGCGCACGUAGGCGGCUUUGUAAGUUAGAGGUGAAAGCCCGGGGCUCAACUCCGGAAUUGCCUUUAAGACUGCAUCGCUAGAAUUGUGGAGAGGUAAGUGGAAUUCCGAGUGUAGAGGUGAAAUUCGUAGAUAUUGGGAAGAACACCGGUGGCGAAGGCGGCGACCUGGUCCGAGACUGACGCUGAGGCGCGAAAGCGUGGGGAGCAAACAGG